RNAcentral lists this ribosomal RNA (840 nucleotides) under Bacillus cereus. RNAcentral describes it as "bacterial SSU rRNA". It matches the Rfam family "Bacterial small subunit ribosomal RNA", at positions 301 to 1135 of the family's 1533-position model. The record is from RNAcentral. Lineage: Bacteria; Bacillati; Bacillota; Bacilli; Caryophanales; Bacillaceae.
UGAUCGGCCACACUGGGACUGAGACACGGCCCAGACUCCUACGGGAGGCAUCAAUAGGGAAUCUUCCGCAGUGGACGAAAGUCUGACGGAGCAACGCCGCGUGAGUGAUGAAGGCUUUCGGGUCGUAAAACUCUGUUGUUAGGGAAGAACAAGUGCUAGUUGAAUAAGCUGGCACCUUGACGGUACCUAACCACAAAGCCACGGCUAACUACGUGCCACCAGCCGCGGUAAUACGUAUGUGGCAAGCGUUAUCCGGAAUUAUUGGGCGUAAAGCGCGCGCAGGUGGUUUCUUAAGUCUGAUGUGAAAGCCCACGGCUCAACCGUGGAGGGUCAUUGGAAACUGGGAGACUUGAGUGCAGAAGACGAAAGUGGAAUUCCAUGUGUAGCGGUGAAAUGCAUAGAGAUAUGGAAGAACACCAGUGGCGAAGGCGACUUUCUGGUCUGUAACUGACACUGAGGCGCGAAAGCGUGGGGAGCAAACAGGAUUACAUACCCUGGUAGUCCACGCCGUACACGAUGAGUGCUAAGUGUUAGAGGGUUUCCGCCCUUUAGUGCUGAAGUUAACGCAUUAAGCACUCCGCCUGGGGAGUACGGCCGCAAGGCUGAAACUCAAAGGAAUUGACGGGGGCCCGCACAAGCGGUGGAGCAUGUGGUUUAAUUCAAAGCAACGCGAAGAACGUACCAGGUCUUGACAUCCUCUGAAACCCUAGAUAUAGGACUUUCUCCUCGGGGACACAGUGACAGGUGGUGCUUGGGUGUCGUCAACUCGGGUCAUGACAUGUUGGGUUAAUCCCGUCACGAUCGCUACCCUUGAAUCUAAGUUGCAUCAUUUAAGUUGGC